Molecule: long non-coding RNA, 242 nt
Filed under: Volvox carteri
Lineage: Eukaryota; Viridiplantae; Chlorophyta; Chlorophyceae; Chlamydomonadales; Volvocaceae
Description: long non-coding RNA (VCAR_LNC000392)
Source: RNAcentral
AAGUUUAAUAUGUUGCCUGUGAUGAAAAUGGUGAUGCCGAUUGCCCAGGUUUUGAAUUUGCGGAUCGGCGGCUUUUCCUCCUCGGGCACGUCCAGCUGCGCCCGCUUCGUGUGCCCCAGCUUGAUGAGGUUCUGGGGGCGGCAACGCAGUCAACAGGUGUUUAUUGACACUGUGAUGCUGCCGAUGAACCUGGGGCGGUGGCAUCUGCUUACCAUGCCAAGAUUGAUGGACACGCUUCCCAC